Molecule: ribosomal RNA, 253 nt
Filed under: uncultured bacterium
Lineage: Bacteria
Description: partial 16S ribosomal RNA
Rfam family: Bacterial small subunit ribosomal RNA
Source: RNAcentral
UACGUAGGUGGCAAGCGUUGUCCGGAUUUACUGGGCGUAAAGCGCGCGCAGGCGGCUCGCCACGUCUGGGGUGAAAUCUCCCGGCUCAACCGGGAGAGGUCUUCAGAUACGGGCGAGCUUGAGGGGAGCAGAGGAGAGUAGAAUUCCCGGUGUAGCGGUGAUAUGCGUAGAUAUCGGGAGGAAUACCAGUGGCGAAGGCGACUCUCUGGGCUCUCCCUGACGCUGAGGCGCGAAAGCGUGGGUAGCAAACCGG